Long non-coding RNA from Salvelinus sp. IW2-2015, 548 nucleotides. RefSeq lists it as uncharacterized. The record is from RefSeq and is a predicted model, not a curated record. NCBI's taxonomy places the organism in Eukaryota, Metazoa, Chordata, Actinopteri, Salmoniformes, Salmonidae.
GAAAACCUGAGUCAGAAUCAGAGAACAUGACUUGUUUAGCAUCACACACCGUUUCUGACACAGGAUUCCAGUUUUGAAGAGCCGCAGACCGUCCAGGGUCACAGGCAGGGCUGCAGAAAGAAUUGGACAGGAAGGCCUUGAAAGGGCUGACCUACUGCAAGAAGAGAGGCUGGCCGAGAUGAAGGCUCAAUUGCAAGAGCUGUCCUUUGAAGAAAGGGGAGAGGCGCUUCCCAUCUACCUGGAGUGAUAUUUGACAUCAUGUACCGGAGAGCUAUCUCAGGGUCUCCGGACAACCUCGCUGGUCGACCUGCAUGAAUUGCGGCGCGACUCCUGCACCUUAGCACACACAACUGCUGCCAUUUCGACACUGAAAUAUGAAACUUAUUUAUUACGUUUCCAUCACAGGUUAAGACUUUCCACGACUACACUGUACUUUAUUCAUUGAGGAGACUCUCUCCACGCAGACACACUAUUCAUUUUUUGGUUGUGGCAUUUUGUGGUUUGUUUGUUUUGACACCUCUCAACACCCCUCAUAACCACCACAUCUA